Molecule: transfer RNA, 70 nt
Filed under: Vespula flaviceps
Lineage: Eukaryota; Metazoa; Arthropoda; Insecta; Hymenoptera; Vespidae
Description: tRNA-Asp
Source: RNAcentral
AAAAGAUUAGUUAAAUUAUAACAUUUAAAUGUCAUUUAAAAAUUAUUAAAAAAUUAUUUAAUAUCUUUUU